CAGCAGGUAGCCUAGUGGUUAGAGUGUAGGGACGGCAGGUAGCCUAAUGGUUAGAGUGUAGGGGCGGCAGGUAGCCUAGCGGUUAGAGUGUAGGGACGGCAGGUAGCCUAGUGGUUAGAGUGUAGGGACGGCAGGUAGCCUAGUGGUUAGAGUGUAGGGACGGCAGGUAGCCUAGUGGUUAGAGUGUAGGGACGGCAGGUAGCCUAGCGGUUAGAGUGUAGGGACGGCAGGUAGCCUAGCGGUUAGAGCGUAGGGGCGGCAGGUAGCCUAGUGGUUAGAGUGUAGGGACGGCAGGUAGCCUAGUGGUUAGAGUGUAGGGGCGGCAGGUAGCCUAGUGGUUAGAGUGUAGGGGCGGCAGGUAGCAUAGUGGUUAGAGUGUAGGGGCGGCAGGUAGCCUAGUGGUUAGAGUGUAGGGGCGGCAGGUAGCAUAGUGUGUUAGAGUGUAGGGACGGCAGGUAGACUAGUGGUUAGAGUGUAGGGACGGCAGGUAGACUAGUGGUUAGAGUGUAGGGACGGCAGGUAGCCUAGUGGUUAGAGUGUAGGGACGGCAGGUAGCCUAGUGGUUAGAGUGUAGGGGCGGCAGGUAGCCUAGUGGUUAGAGUGUAGGGACGGCAGGUAGCCUAGUGGUUAGAGUGUAGGGACGGCAGGUAGCCUAGUGGUUAGAGUGUAGGGGCGGCAGGUAGCCUAGUGGUUAGAGUGUUGGGACGGCAGGUAGCCUAGUGGUUAGAGUGUAGGGGCGGCAGGUAGCCUAGUGGUUAGAGUGUAGGGGCGGCAGGUAGCCUAGUGGUUAGAGUGUAGGGACGGCAGGUAGCCUAGUGGUUAGAGUGUUGGGAC
Long non-coding RNA from Oncorhynchus tshawytscha (Chinook salmon), 834 nucleotides. The record is from Ensembl. Lineage: Eukaryota; Metazoa; Chordata; Actinopteri; Salmoniformes; Salmonidae.